GACAUCCCAGGACAACUAAUCUAGAUGUGUUGACCUCAUGCAUCAGACAAGUUGGUGGCUUAGAGCGUCAUUCGUUUCAGCAAAACAUUCUCCAACGAAUUCCGUUUCAGCAACAACGUCAUAGAAUUUGAUGCUUCUGUUUUCUGACUUUCCUCUUAUCUUACAAACCCGGCGUAUAAAUACAGCAGCCGCAAAUUCAUUUUGCCAUAAUUCGGUUACUGACUUACAUCGUCACUAAAGAGUAAAAGUAAAGAAAACACAGAAAAACUGAAAAAAGUAAGACACAAAGAGGCAUCAUGAAAUAUUUUUAUAUCAUUUCAUUGAUCUUUGUCAUUUCCGUGACCAACAUCUCAGUUGAAGGUGGUGUAACUUUCGACAAUUGCAGAGCUUUGAUGACUCAGUGCGCUUUGAGCAGCCGGGGUGAUGCCUGUGGUUAUUGGCAUUGUGCAUUGGAUGUGGCAGGAAAUAUUGUACAAUGUCCACGAAAUUCUCCCUAUCGAACCAAACUCGGUAGUAUCUUGAAAAAAUUGUCAAAAGCUUGUCUAACAAGUAAACUCCUGAAGCAAUGGAGCGGAUGAAAGAUACUGAUGUUUGGGAAGAGAUAUUCAAAGUUCCAACAGAUAUACAUCAUAUAUAUAAUGCGUUUUUAAAAUUGUUUACAAAUAAAUAUUACUUAACUAAACUCAAAUCUGACUGAGGAUAUUCCUAAAGCUGCAUGUCUAUAUAUAGGUGAUAGUACCGAUGAAGUCUUGUUUCUAUCUUUGUAAUACCAAGAAGUAUCCUUGUCGAACAGUUUGGGGUACUUCAAUUUAAUACGACACCGCAGAAAUUGGUGU
Long non-coding RNA from Dendronephthya gigantea, 836 nucleotides. RefSeq lists it as uncharacterized. The record is from RefSeq and is a predicted model, not a curated record. NCBI's taxonomy places the organism in Eukaryota, Metazoa, Cnidaria, Anthozoa, Malacalcyonacea, Nephtheidae. The transcript has 4 exons.